GAUGAAGAAAAUAUGAGAAAGAUAUGGUACAUAAUUUUUUUUGUGCAGGGAUUCCUUGAGACUUGUAAUUUAUUUUAAGGGCUACACAAGGGUAAAAAGGUUGAGAAACACUGCUCUAGAGAAAGGCGUGGACAUCAUAUAAGCUCAGUUCUACUCUUCUGCAAAUCUUAGAUUUAAACUUUGGCUGAAUUAAAUAUACCAGAUUGCUGCCAAAGAAUAUGCUGAUUUUAUCAAAAGUUUAUUGGUUGACUUCACUUACCUUUAGUUUUCCAAUAAAAUUAUGGGAAAGAAAAGCUAAAAAGUCUGUGUAAAGUUAGUGGAUUAAGGCUGUAAUGAAUUAUAUUAUUUCUCUGCAAUAUUUACAGUUAGCUAAAUUGAUAUGAUGUCACAGUAAUGAUCAGAGUGUUAGUGGUCUGAAUCUCAUCACUCGUAGUGCAUUAUGUGCAUAAUCAAGGCAUUUAAAUAUCUCCAGCCCAAUCUACACAGGUAGCUGUAUAAGUUUAUCAUAUAACUGCAAAGAUCAGAAACAGAGUAUAAGUGGAUAUCUAAAAUCCUUGCUGUGCUAAGUUCAUAUUUAAGUGAUAAAUUAUUCACACAGUUGUCUUGUUUUAAAUAAGUCUAUCACCACAACAGCUUAGUAGACUCAAUAUAAAUGGAGUCUCUUAAAAUUGGAGAAUUGAGAUAAAAUGCUAUGAUUAGGGACACAUUUGGACAUUAAUGAUUCGGCACAGCUGACUGGAUGCUUCAACAGCAGUAAUAUUCCAUGCUAGAGGCAAACACACACACAUGCAUACAUGAUCAUGCAGAAAUAUACACAUACAGAUAGAAAGAGGGAAAGAGAGAGAGAAGAAGAAGAUGACAGUUCAUUAAUUGAACAUGACUUGACAUAUACGCUUUCUCUCUCCUCAUUCAAAUAAAGAGAGAUAAGCUCACCCACAUAAGCAGGGGAAAGAACAUUAGGAGUAUUAAAACAUCUGAUGUCAAAUAAGUCAGCAUUGAAUCAGCAACACCAACUGGGUAGUACCAAAACAGCUGUGUCAGAAUGCCUUCUACCUGAGUUGAGUGUGGGUAACUCACAUGGUCACAUGAUUGAUCAGAUCAUUGGAUGUUGUUAUACAUUGCUGGCCACAAUGUGCUUCACACUGUUUUAGCCACCCAGCUGGUUUGGUUAGCAGGCCAACAUUCCCCUGAUCGGAAAGCUAGUCCAUUACAGAGUUCCUCAUAUACAGCAGAAUGGACUGGAACAAUAUAGAAUGAAAUGUUUUAUUCAAGAACACAACAUGCCACUCAGUCCAGGAACUGAACUCUCCAUCUAGCAAUCACGAAUGCUAUACCCUAACCAUUAGGCUACACACAUUUACUGAGAGUGGGUGAUUAAGUGGUAAUAUCUAAGUUUUUUUUAAAUUAUUUUUUAUAAUUCUUCCUUCAAGAUUUAUCAGAAAAUAUUUUUUUUCACUUUUCCUUCUACAGAAGAGAAUGUAGAAAAUGUCUGUAAUAUACUGGAGAAAAUAGUCUAACUGUAGAGUAACAGAAGAGUAAAGAUCAGUGAAAGUGUUCACAUCUACUGGCUGUGUUGCUAAAAAGAACAAAUCAUUUAUUUUUCAUAAAAUUCUCAAGACAUAUUUUCCUUGUUGUAGCCUUCUAUGAAGUCUUAACCUGGAAACCAGAAACCCUAUUCAGUUAGACUAGUGGUUCCCAAAUUCCUUCAAGCAAUUUAUUUUUGCUCCAUGUAUUUUAUCACAAAUUUAUCCCUACCCUGCCCUAUUAACAUUAUACAGAGCAACAGUUUGUAGAUGUAGCCUCAUUUAUUACAGAUUCAUUUAGCACUGAUCUGGAAUAACAUAGUAUGCUCAACUGUGAACCAUGUUAUGCUUAUCAAGAAUUGAUCUGUGAUAACAUGAGUCAGUGAUCAGUCAAAGACUUGUACCACAAAAACACACCCGUGACCAACCCAAUGCUCAGCUACCCAGAAUGCACUAUCAAUUGCUUGUGUUUACAUCACUGUUCUGUAAGUUUGUGAAAUUUUAAUAUGGAUUUACAUACUCAAAUUCAUCAACAUGAGACCAGUGAGCAGAAAAAAUAUGAAGGUGCUUUAAAAACAAUGCAGAUAAGUGUAUUCUCUACAGGAAAAGGUAGGAAUAAUGGAGAAAAUAUGUGAUGGUGGAAGAUUUGCAGCUGUGGGCCACAAACUUAGUAUCAAUGAAUCUAUCAUGCAUUCCAUUUACAAAGUGUGCUUAGAUGAUUCAUUUCUCAUUGUAUUAUAUUCUUUUAACCAAGCCUCCAUGAGGAUAGAUGUACAACACUAGACAAGAUAAUAACAAAGAUUUUUAAGAAUUUCUUCAUUCCAGUUUUUCAAUGAAUGAGACUCAUUCAUUCAAAAUUAUUAAUUUCCAAAAAUAUGAUACUCAUUUCUUCCAAAAAUACCAAAUUCUAAGCUACGAUACUUGGUUAGUUCACAGGACAGCCAACAAAGAAACUUCUAGGUAGUUACUAGAACUACUAGAAAUAAUGGUCAAAUCUCUCUUUUAUACUUCUGUUGAAAUACUCUGCCUAUGUUUUGAUUAAUUUUGAAAAUAAUGGAAAGUAAAAUAAAAUAACUUCGUACUUUUUGAGCUGAGGUUUGGAAUAUAAAUAAACAUAGAAUUUCGAUGAAAGAUUUUUAACUUAGAUAACUUUAAAAGAGGAAGUUUGUCCCAUAGAACCAUGGGCAGUCUCAAACAAAUUGGUAACAAUAGAGAACUCCCUCCUAAAUUAAAAAAAGGAAAGAAAGUUUACAUAAUGUAAUCCUAGAUAUAUAAAAGGAUGGGAUGAUCAUAACUGGGAUGUCUUUCACCAUAGUUCUGCUCAAAGCUGACCCAGGGCUAAACACACAACAGCAACUGCUUUAUAGUUCAUAAAAUUCUCAUCAUUAAAAAUGAGUGAAAUUAAUAACAUUGCACUUCAACAUGAUCUAGAACCUCAUCCACUGCAAGGAGUGGUACCUUGAAAUUUGGGAACAAGCAAUAGGGUAGAGGGAAAAGAGGAAAGGAGGAACAGGUCCAUUCUUGUCUGCACCAUUUUCAUUUUCCAAAAUUUCCAAAAUGACUGAUCGUAUUCCAAUAUUAUAUGUUAUCUCCUUUGCUUGUUGUUUUUAGAUUUUAAAUACACCCCAUCCUUCACCUGUUAGGAGAGAUUUUGUCGACUAAAUUUCAUGGACAAUCAAUCUCAGUUAAUCAAAUAUUUCUUCAACCUGCUCUUUACAUAUGUGAAACCCUAAUGCAUGUGAUUUGGGAACCACUGGGUUGGACUGAUUCCAAUAUAUUUUGGAAUAUUUAAUUAUUAAAUCAACAUUUAUAAAACAAAAUAUGAACUGGCUCACAGAGAUUAUACAGAAGAAACACAUUGCAUUAACAAUCAUUUAAUAUCUCAAUGAGACAAGCAUUUAAUAGUUUUUCUUUUUAAAUAGUUCCUUUCUUUGCUUUAAUUGAUUGUCUUUUUUUUAAUACAAAAUUCAAUAGUAACCACGAGAAAUUUUGAUUUUUUUUAAAAAUCAUUUUAUCAACUUUUUUUUUUUAGUUGAAAAAUUGUAUUAUUGAAAAAUCUUGAAUAAAUCUAUUUAGAAUGUGA
Molecule: long non-coding RNA, 3606 nt
Filed under: Octopus sinensis (East Asian common octopus)
Lineage: Eukaryota; Metazoa; Mollusca; Cephalopoda; Octopoda; Octopodidae
Description: uncharacterized LOC118768474
Source: RNAcentral